UGGGGUGUAGCCAAGCGGUAAGGCAGCGGGUUUUGAUCCCGUUAUUCCCAGGUUCGAGUCCUGGUACCCCAGCCA
Molecule: transfer RNA, 75 nt
Filed under: Alphaproteobacteria bacterium
Lineage: Bacteria; Pseudomonadati; Pseudomonadota; Alphaproteobacteria
Also listed under: 1 other name
Description: tRNA-Gln
Rfam family: tRNA
About the family: Transfer RNA (tRNA) molecules are approximately 80 nucleotides in length. Their secondary structure includes four short double-helical elements and three loops (D, anti-codon, and T loops).
Source: RNAcentral